CUGUGAUGGAGCGUUUGAAUUCCAGAGCCAAACUUCACUCACUGCGCAAACAACCACUGAGCUCAUCAACAAAUAGAGAUGAUCCCUUCAAGAAAUGCACUCGAACAGCACCAUGACUUCUGUGGGAAGAACUCAAGCUUAUGGAAGACUGUCAGAGUCAGAGCACUUGCUACGCCUCCAGCCCCCAACUCCCAUUAUCCUCUCGGACAGAAGGAAAUGGCCAUUUCUCAUUUUCUGCAGUUGCAGUGAACAUGCUUUACUCAUUAGCAGACAACUCCAGCAGAUGCAGAACAUGACUGAUGCUUUAUCUCGAAGGAGAACACGAUCCUCCUGCCUGUGAAGUUCUUAGCCGAUGUAGUUUUUUAACACAUCUGCAUAUGUUUCUAUUUUAGCUCUGCAUGUCAAAAAAAGGAAAAAAAGAAACAUUCCAAAAUGUGAGUAGUCAAGUGCUUCUUCUAUUUUGGUCUGUUCCGUUCAAAAAUCAUACUGGCCCUUAUUUUUUGGACACUGUCUGCACCCUAACUCAUGUUUAACUAAAAAUAAAAAAUAAAAAAAAGCAAUUGUUCACGCUCAAACUGCAGCUCUCAGUUUUCCCUGAGGGGUUUGUAUUUCAGCUUAAUACUACUGUGAUGCUGGGUAUAGAGUCAUGCAUGAAUGCAGGGAAGCAGUACCAUGUUUGUUUGAGAAGUAAUGCAAAGUGAAUGCCCCUGCAAAACAAAGAAAAUGUGAGCAGUUACAUCAAGACUGUUCAACCACAGAUUAGGUAACGAAACUCAAAUGAAGCCUGCUAGGAGAGAUGCACAUGACCCCUCUUAACUUAACCCUCAAAACUCAAUAGAAAUCAAAGGCUUCAGUACUGAGGGAGACCAUACCAUUAGGGAUAGUUCACCCAAAAAUCGAAAUUUUGUCAUGAUUUACUCAGCCUCCACUUGUUCCAAACCUGUAUGAGUUUCUUUCUUCUGUUGAAUGCAAAAGAAGAUGUUUUUGAAGAAUGUUAAAUAUAACCUAAAGAUCAUCAGGUUUUCACGCAAGU
Cyprinus carpio (common carp) is the source of this 1033-nucleotide long non-coding RNA. RefSeq lists it as uncharacterized. Lineage: Eukaryota; Metazoa; Chordata; Actinopteri; Cypriniformes; Cyprinidae. The record is from RefSeq and is a predicted model, not a curated record.